Molecule: unclassified non-coding RNA, 2429 nt
Filed under: Hevea brasiliensis (rubber tree)
Lineage: Eukaryota; Viridiplantae; Streptophyta; Magnoliopsida; Malpighiales; Euphorbiaceae
Source: RNAcentral
GGAAAUUACUUUGGGAGGUCUGAUCAAAGGACUCAACCAUUUCAGAUGACCCAUUGAUCCUUGUCCAGAAAAUGGGCUACCAGGAAGAGCUGGGCCGGCUAUCUUUGGUCCAAUAUCAAAUUCCCAUCUCACCUUCCUCCCCAUUGCAACUCCAGAAUUUGGGUGUUAUAUCUGUUCCGUUCCGCUAAUUGAACCUGUUUCUUUACUUUUCCUUGCCAUCUGCGACACCUCUACUCGGCAUGCUUCAAGCUAGAGCUCACAAUCCCUCUGUGCUAUCUUAGAGACGAAACCAUCGCCAUCCUCAGUCACUGGUGCUCGCUGAUGUGUGGUUGCGAGAGGUAUGGAAGAAGUUUGGACGACUUCCCUCCCAUACUCCAACAAUUCGGAUGUGAACUGGACCCAAGACAGAAGAGGUUGCUGUUGUCGGAGCUCGCAAAACUAUUGGAGAAGAGCUCCCUCCAUGCUAUUCCAAACAAAAUAAAUUUUAACAUCCUCGGUGGUUUUAUGGGUGUCAAAGUAUUUCUCAGCCUGGACAAUCCAUCCCUUUGGGUCCACUCCUUUGAAUGUGGGAAUCUCGACCUUCGAUAUUGUUAAUGGAGUUUCAUUACAGAGCAAAGCUAUGGUUGUGGGUCUGGUGGCAGAAGAAUCAACAAUAGGAGUGGCAUGCUGAGUUGGGUUGGAAAUUUUUGCCUUCUCUGCUACUGCAUUGCCUUGAAUCAAAGAGAUAAACGUAAUCUCUAUUCUUGUAAACCUCUUUUCUUGUUCUAGUCUUAUUGUUGUGAGUCCUUCUUUAAUUUUGAUAAAUAUCCUCUCUAUCUGUGCAAUUAUGUUUUUUAUCUUUUCCGUUCUGUUUUCCAUUGCGGGCUCGGGAUCCGACAGGUUGGACCAUUUGAUAGAUUUAGGAACAAUUUCAAUAUUAAAGAACAAUGGAGAAUAACUGUAAUUUGAUAUUUCAAUGAAGAUGGCAGAAUGCUUUACAAUCAAUCUCUUCUCAAUUACAACUGAUACUUCUUCCUUUUACACUCUCAAAAUGACAGCAAACAAAGCAAGCAAAAUAAGAAAAUAAAGAAAUGACAACAAUCAGAUAACAAUGGGUACUAAGAGCCCCCAGAGAAGAAUCCCCGUGCAGAGAAACUCUGCCCCUCUAACCAAAGAAAUACCAGAAGUUCCAGAUACCUCUUUUCAUUCCCCUUUCUCCUCCUUAUACUAAUUUCUGUCCUCUUUUGCCAGUUGUCCCGCCACAUGCUUCCAUCCCAAUAUUCACUCAACAAACUCAUCCUUUUCUGUUACCAUCUAUUCUAGAAUACUCCAUAUUCCUAUCAUUACCUCCCCCUAAAGAACCAGCAUUGUCCUUAAGGCUGUAUUUCAAACAUAAAAGAAGUAAAUUAAGCAAUAUAAUUUCCAAAAGAAGUAAAUUAAGCAAUAGAAUUCCAAAAGAAGUAAAUUAAGCAAUAGAAUUUCCAGCAACUCCAUCAGUGUAUACAAGGCCUAAAGUAAUUGAGAGAACAGGCCACUUUAGUCAUGAUUGAGUUCAAUCCAUUCCCUUAGGUCUUGCGGAAGCAACUGCUGAUGCCUGUUGGUCCUUAUUUCUUCGAAACGGAUAGCAAGUGACCAAAGAUAGGUCUGCAUCUUCCCAAUCAACAAUGCAAAAAGGAUGAGCCCCAAUAGGGCUACUGCUAUAGAAAAUAUAACCUCCAGUGGAUGUGUGCUGGUUUGAAGACUAUAGGCAAGUGUACUCAAAUUUUGAACCCCUCGCCACAAGCAGUAACACUAUUUAGAGAACAACUUUGUAGAAGAGGCAAUACCAGAAAAAGCAUUUGAUUAAACUCCAUAGUCAAAUGGCCCAUUCUCUUCAGCUUCCACAAUGCUAGAUAAUAACAUCAUCACUGUUGUUGCCCCAGGCAGCAUAACCAUCCAUAUGUUGAUUGUCACAAUACAAGAAAUUUUUAUUACAAUUUGAAGUAUCACUAAAAGCCUUUGCCAGCAUAAAUCCUGCAACUCAACAGCUAACCAAUACUAGAACGCAUCUUCUAUCUCAUUUUCUGUAACAGUUAUCUUACCUUGAAUAACAAUUGUUAAGGACUGCUUAACACCAUCAUAUUUUUCCCAAGCGUGCCAGACAACAGUCAAAUCAACCCAAACUAAUAAUAACUGACAGUCUAAACUAUAGAAUUACCUUACUUCCUGUAGUAGAAUUUAUAAUGGAUUGCAGCACCCUCCGUGAACCAGUUUUGUAGGAGAUGGAGAAAUCUGACCUUAUUGGUUCACAAUAUGUCGGCUUGCAAGCCAAGCUUCUUGCCAUAGAGAUGACACUGAUUCUUGAGUAGACUGCCGCAAACCUCUCCCGUCAUCCUUAAGAGCCAUGCGAUGUCCCAAGUCAGAAAUUCUAGCCUGUCUAAUCUGCCCUGCUGCUGACGGAAGAAGAUGGU